RNAcentral lists this ribosomal RNA (229 nucleotides) under uncultured bacterium. RNAcentral's name for it is "partial 16S ribosomal RNA". It matches the Rfam family "Bacterial small subunit ribosomal RNA", at positions 568 to 796 of the family's 1533-position model. The record is from RNAcentral.
UGCGUAGGCGGUAUCAUAAGUCAGUGGUGAAAUCCUUCAGCUUAACUGAAGACGUGCCAUUGAAACUAUUUUACUUGAAUACAGAUGAAGUAGGCGGAACACGAUAUGUAGCGGUGAAAUGCAUAGAUAUAUCGUAGAACACCGAUUGCGAAGGCAGCUUACUAAACUGUUAUUGACGCUGAUGCACGAAAGCGUGGGUAUCGAACAGGAUUAGAUACCCUGGUAGUCC